GACGAACGCUGGCGGCGUGCUUAACACAUGCAAGUCGAACGGAAAGGCUCCAGCUUGCUGGAGUACUCGAGUGGCGAACGGGUGAGUAACACGUGGGUAAUCUGCCCUGCACUCUGGGAUAAGCCUGGGAAACUGGGUCUAAUACUGGAUAUGACCUUUCCCCUUAUGGGGUUUGGUGGAAAGUUUUUCGGUGUAGGAUGAGCCCGCGGCCUAUCAGCUUGUUGGUGGGGUGAUGGCCUACCAAGGCGACGACGGGUAGCCGGCCUGAGAGGGUGAUCGGCCACAUUGGGACUGAGAUACGGCCCAGACUCCUACGGGAGGCAGCAGUGGGGAAUAUUGCACAAUGGGCGGAAGCCUGAUGCAGCGACGCCGCGUGAGGGAUGACGGCCUUCGGGUUGUAAACCUCUUUCAGCAGGGACGAGGCGUAAGUGACGGUACCUGCAGAAGAAGCACCGGCUAACUACGUG
Molecule: ribosomal RNA, 467 nt
Filed under: uncultured bacterium
Lineage: Bacteria
Description: partial 16S ribosomal RNA
Rfam family: Bacterial small subunit ribosomal RNA
Source: RNAcentral